UACAGAGGUCCCAAGCGUUGUUCGGAUUCACUGGGCGUAAAGGGUGCGUAGGCGGUCGGGUAAGUCUGAUGUGAAAUCUCACAGCUUAACUGUGAAACUGCAUUGGAUACUAUCCGGCUAGAGGAAUGGAGGGGAGACUGGAAUACUUGGUGUAGCAGUGAAAUGCGUAGAUAUCAAGUGGAACACCAGUGGCGAAGGCGGGUCUCUGGGCAACAACUGACGCUGAGGAGCGAAAGCGUGGGGAGCGAACAGG
RNAcentral lists this ribosomal RNA (253 nucleotides) under uncultured bacterium. Its description in RNAcentral is "partial 16S ribosomal RNA". It matches the Rfam family "Bacterial small subunit ribosomal RNA", at positions 524 to 776 of the family's 1533-position model. The record is from RNAcentral.